AGUAUAUGUUAUGAUUUAGGACUGGUAAAAGAGGCAAAGUCCGUGUAACCAUGUACAUUCCGUCCCGGAGUACGUGUACACAACUAGACAGAAUCGCGUUGAGGAUUUUCAUCAAGGAGUAUGUGCACAAAGUUUUUAAGGAACAUGGACGACCAUUCACAUCCGGAGUUGUACCAUGGAAUAUCUAUGUGGAUGCAAAUAAAUAAUAAUGCAUGGAUGAACAAGAGUAAAAUCGAACAAGCUCCAUAUUAUGACUUGGCAAAAUCAGGGACCUAUAAUAAUACUAUAUGAUUUGACUUCUGUAUUAUAAACCAAACUGGUGUUGGGGUAGCCAUGAACUCGUGAUAGGUCACUUUCGUUUGUACGUUCUAGUUUCUUGCAAGUCUCAUCUCUGGAAGUGCUUUGUUGUUUGCCUCAUAUGUCAGGUUAAAUGGUUAUGGGAAGGUAAUUAACGAACAUUUGUUGUGCGUAAGACCGAUUAAUAUUCUAAACCCUACGUACGCCAUUUAGGG
This is a long non-coding RNA of Spinacia oleracea (spinach), 512 nucleotides long. RefSeq lists it as uncharacterized. The transcript is spliced from 4 exons. The record is from RefSeq and is a predicted model, not a curated record. NCBI's taxonomy places the organism in Eukaryota, Viridiplantae, Streptophyta, Magnoliopsida, Caryophyllales, Amaranthaceae.